UGGCACAGCGGUUAAAGCACUUGGCUGCUAACCAAAUGUUGGUGGUUCAAACCCAUC
This 57-nucleotide transfer RNA is filed under the name Loxodonta africana (African savanna elephant). It matches the Rfam family "tRNA", at positions 8 to 63 of the family's 71-position model. From Rfam's summary of the family: Transfer RNA (tRNA) molecules are approximately 80 nucleotides in length. Their secondary structure includes four short double-helical elements and three loops (D, anti-codon, and T loops). Lineage: Eukaryota; Metazoa; Chordata; Mammalia; Proboscidea; Elephantidae. The record is from Rfam by way of RNAcentral.